ACGCCCGGCCCUGCCCCCAGCAGAGGCGGAAGCGGUGUCGCUCUGAGGGGUCGCCAGUCGCCGCAGGCGCUUCAGCCCAGCGGCGGGCCUUGGCCCUUGGCUGCCUACUCCUACCGCCCCAGCCCCGGGCGGCCCUGGGCCUGCUGCGGGCGCGGCGCUGCCCGACCAGAGCUUCCUGUGGAACGUCUUCCAGAGGGUCGAUAAAGACAGGAGUGGAGUGAUAUCAGACACCGAGCUUCAGCAAGCUCUCUCCAACGGCACGUGGACUCCCUUUAAUCCAGUGACUGUCAGGUCGAUCAUAUACUACACUGAAGGCUGGUUACGCUCUUAUGUGCAAUAGAACCUCAAACACAUCGUAACACACCUUUGGAGAAUCCUUACAAGAACACCAAGUUAACAGUUAUCUCUGACCACACUACCUCAGCAAAAAACCAGGAAGAAAAAAUAUUCUUCAACCCUUUUCAGGGACAGAAAGCAUCAUUUCAAAAGUCCAAGAAGGGAAGCAAAACUUCUGACCUGAGACAUCGAAGCAGAUAAAAAGCCGCUACACAAAAUGUAUCGCUACAACUAGAGGGCAGUCUUGCCUUUCUUCCAUUCAAUUAUUCAGUUUCUCAUGUUCCUAAGUGCCAGCCCAGAACCAUGGAAUGUGAAGAAACACAAAACUCACUCCUCUGCAUCAGUGAAUUGAUUGUGUGGUGGGGAUGUAAGUCUGCAUGUGACUGACAGUUCCCCAAAGUGGUGCCAAGUCAAUCUAAACUAGAGAGAAUUUCUGGCCAGGCCAAGCAGAGAUUUCAUGGAUGAAGUCUCCCAAAGACUGAUUUCCUAAACAUUAAACAUCACUGGUUUUCCAAAACUGGUUUUCUUUUUUUUUUUUUAACCCUGUUUCUCAGGCUGGAGGGCAAGUGGUGCCAUCUCCACUCACUGCAGCCUCGACCUCCCAGGCUCCACUGAUCUUCCCACCUCAGCCUCCUGAGUAGCUGGGACUACAGGUGUGCACCGCCACGACUCGCUAAUUUUUGUAUUUUUUGUAGAGACGGGGUUUUGCUGUGUUGCUCAGGCUGGUCACUCGAUCUGCCCACCUGGGUCUCGCAGAGUGCUGGGGUUACAGGUAUGAGCCACCACGCCCAGCCCACUGGUUUCCUUUACACCCGUUUUGUUCCCCAGCAGUCCUUAUGAGGGCACCUGAAAUAAGGAACCUCCUCCCCGACUUGAGAGCAGCAAAGCCUUCAGAGGGAACUAAGUUAUUAAAACCCACCCCACACAAAAUGCUUCUAAACGCCUUGGCUGACUUAAUCCUUGCAGUGUGCUGAGGUUAAGUAUGAUUAUCCAUCUCCUGUGAACAGGAAGACUGAGGCUCAGAGCUUAAGUGAUUUGCCCACGGUUCACUGCAGGGGAUAAAACUCGGCUGUCCCUGGCAGGUCCCAAAGUCACGGCCUUCAGGCUCCCACACCAUGCUGCCUCCCUCACCGGGGCUCCACACUCUCAGCCUGGAAAACACUAAUUUUAAGAAAACCAUGACUUACGAAAAGCAGCCAAUCCCAGCAUUGGAACCAACAGGGCAUAAUUCCACCUGCUUCCAUCACCACCAUCCGCCCUGGAAUUAGGCCGGAUAUUCCAAUUUGGGGGAUCAUUUAGGUUAUUCAUGGAG
Molecule: long non-coding RNA, 1648 nt
Filed under: Homo sapiens (human)
Lineage: Eukaryota; Metazoa; Chordata; Mammalia; Primates; Hominidae
Description: PREDICTED lncRNA (TCONS_00216602)
Source: RNAcentral